UGCCAGCAUCCGCUGUACUACUUAUUGGGCAAUCGUUGCUCGGAAUCAUUGGGCAUAAAGGGCGUCUAGGCGGAUAGGUCAGUCGGUUGUGAAAUCCCUCGGCUUAACCGAGGAACUGCAGCCGAUACUGCCUGUCUUGAGGAUGAGAGGGGAGAGUGGAACUCCUGGUGGAGCGGUGAAAUGCGUAGAUAUCAGGAGGAACGCCGGCGGCGAAAGCGACUCUCUGGCUCAUUCCUGACGCUGAAGCGCGAAAGCUAGGGGAGCGAACGGGAUUAGAUA
This 279-nucleotide ribosomal RNA is filed under the name uncultured bacterium. Its description in RNAcentral is "partial 16S ribosomal RNA". It matches the Rfam family "Bacterial small subunit ribosomal RNA", at positions 506 to 784 of the family's 1533-position model. The record is from RNAcentral.